This 482-nucleotide ribosomal RNA is filed under the name uncultured bacterium. RNAcentral's name for it is "partial 16S ribosomal RNA". It matches the Rfam family "Bacterial small subunit ribosomal RNA", at positions 29 to 507 of the family's 1533-position model. The record is from RNAcentral.
ACGAACGCUGGCGGCGUGCUUAACACAUGCAAGUCGAACGCUGAAGCUCAGCUUUUGUUGGGUGGAUGAGUGGCGAACGGGUGAGUAACACGUGAGUAACCUGCCUCCUUCUUUGGGAUAACGCCCGGAAACGGGUGCUAAUACUGGAUAUUCACUGGUCUUCGCAUGGGGGUUGGUGGAAAGGGCUUUUCUGGUGGGGGAUGGGCUCGCAGCCUAUCAGCUUGUUGGUGGGGUGAUGGCCUACCAAGGCUUUGACGGGUAGCCGGCCUGAGAGGGUGACCGGUCACAUUGGGACUGAGAUACGGCCCAGACUCCUACGGGAGGCAGCAGUGGGGAAUAUUGCACAAUGGGCGCAAGCCUGAUGCAGCGACGCCGCGUGAGGGAUGGAGGCCUUCGGGUUGUGAACCUCUUUCGCUCAUGGUCAAGCCGCAACAAUGGUUGUGGUGAGGGUAGUGGGUAAAGAAGCGCCGGCUAACUACGUG